GAUGAACGCUGGCGGCGUGCCUAAUACAUGCAAGUCGAGCGAACAGACGAGGAUCUUGCUCCUCUGACGUUAGCGGCGGACGGGUGAUUAACACGUGGAUAACCUACCUAUAAGACUGGGAUAACUUCGGGAGACCGGAGCUAGUACCGGAUAAUAUAGUGAACCGCAUGGUUCAAUAGUGAAAGCCGGUUUUGCUGUCACUUAUUGGUGGUUCCGCGGCGCAUUAGCUAGUUGGUAGGGUAACGGCUUACCAAGGCAACGAUGCGUAGCCGACCUGAGAGGGUGAUCAGCCACACUGGAACUGAGACACGGCCCAGACUCCUACGGGAGGCAGCAGUAGGGAAUCUUCCGCAAUGGGCGAAAGCCUGACGGAGCAACGCCGCGUGAGUGAUGAAGGUCUUCGGAUCGUAAAACUCUGUUAUUAGGGAAGAACAAAUGUGUAAGUAACUAUGCACGUCUUGACGGUACCUAAUCAGAAAGCCACGGCUAACUACGUG
This 497-nucleotide ribosomal RNA is filed under the name uncultured bacterium. Its description in RNAcentral is "partial 16S ribosomal RNA". It matches the Rfam family "Bacterial small subunit ribosomal RNA", at positions 28 to 507 of the family's 1533-position model. The record is from RNAcentral.